RNAcentral lists this long non-coding RNA (1348 nucleotides) under Homo sapiens (human). RNAcentral's name for it is "HSALNT0179344". The record is from RNAcentral. Lineage: Eukaryota; Metazoa; Chordata; Mammalia; Primates; Hominidae.
GUGAAUAUUUAAGCUGAGGAUUGGGCAGGCAUAUAAUAAUUUCAGAAAGAUGCUCUUGGUUGGCUCCAUAAUAGGCAUCUUACUUUUCCAAUUGCCAAUCUUACAACCCCUGACCCUGCUCUUAAAUAACGAUUCUCUAAGCCUUGAAAACGUUCAGAUUGGAAACUCACUCCCCCUACUUCCAAAUAGUUAUUUCCAAAGAGAAUCUUCACUCUCCACAAAAAGCAAAUAAAGCCACCCUAAGCAGAGGCAAAUAUUAGAGCACGGUUAGUAAAUACCUAGCAUACAACUCAGCAUUCUCCAAUCCCAUGUCUGUAACAGACAUUUCUAAUCAAUCACGGCAGUAUUUCCCAUGGAAUACAGACUUGCUUUCUCCACAAGGUUCUCUAGGCAGCCACUGCUAAUCAAGUGGAGUUCCACUUGAAACCUGUUGCUGUCCCACAAGGAGCAGGAGAAUUUUGGGGUUCCAAUCAGGCAUUACCGUUCAAAAGCCUUGUCCUCCAGGUCUCGCUGCUUCUUCAUCGCAGCACUCCUUUCCCAGUCCUCCUGUAAGCAUUGGUUGACUCUAUUUACUCGCUCCAGCUCAGCGGUUCUGUCUGCCAAGUGCCUGGAGAGAAAAGAACAGCCUGGCUCCAUAAUACUUGGAAGAGCAUGCACCAAAUUUGGGAGCCCCAUUCCUUUUAUGUUAAACAAAAAAAACCUUCUGGUUUUGUUCACUACUCUGAAAUAUACUAAAAAGCAUGAACACUGUAAAAGCAUACUGAAAUUCCUAGCUCUCAAAUAAUUUAUGGAUCAAAGGUCUUUUAUCUUCAAUCCUGGUUUGAUUUAAUAGGAUUGAAACCUUUUUCCAGUUAACAACUUCAACCUGUAAAACCAUUAAUUUCCUUUGAGGCUAAUUUAACUUAUCUGAAGAAUCAUCCCAAAUGGAUUUCCUAUACUCUGUUUCUUUCCUUUUAGUCCAGCCUCUCAGCUGCCAGUACUCAGCCUACCAGUCACUGCAGACAUAUUACAAGGCAAAAUAGAUAGGUAUACAAAUGAAAGUCUACAAAAAGAGAAAAUAAACACAAGUGACUAAGCAAGGGAAAAGAAAAUAGAGAAAACAUUAACAUUGUGAAGAAGGCAAGAAAAUAAAACAGGAAUGUUUGGUGAAGGCCAUGUCAUCGAAGAAGUGACUGCAGUAUAAUCUCUGUCUUCAAAGGGAGAUAUUCCCAGUGUUGUGUUUCUAUCACUGGUCUCCAAACACUCCAUCACUACUGUUGUGAAUCACCUUAAGCCUGGUUCUGAUUAUGUGUCUAUUUCUUGCUAAACUGAAACCUUUGCUGUCAGUUCUCACUGAAAUCUAGAAGGA